Molecule: long non-coding RNA, 4054 nt
Organism: Hippocampus zosterae (dwarf seahorse)
Lineage: Eukaryota; Metazoa; Chordata; Actinopteri; Syngnathiformes; Syngnathidae
Exons: 2
Source: RefSeq, a predicted model, not a curated record
GGAAACCUGCUUGCAGGACAGCCUUCCACAUAGUCUGCUGGGUUUCAGCAUUUAUUGAUUGACUUGAGAUUUUGUUCCGCUUUUUAAUAGUAUUAGUGAACGACACUCUUUUUGUUUGACCAUGUGUGUAUCCGUUUUUCAAAGGCUCUAUUAUGCUUGCCACCUAAUCAAGCUAAAACAUUCCUGACAACAAAGUAGAACUAAAAUACUGGAACAUGCUGUCAAAACUGCAACAUCACAUCAUUAGUGCCAUUUGACACGCAGAGUCAACAAACCAACACCUACCCAACUAGAUUAAUCAAAAUGUACCUUCCAAUGUUGUUAACCCCUGCGGCACAUCUGAAAGCUGAGAGUUUGCAAAGAAUAUCACUUUAAGUCAGUGGAAGAAUAUCAUCUGAAAGAAAAAGGGGGACUUCACGCUCCGUCUUGGUGAGAUCUCAUAGCAGAGCAUCGCCAUGGAAACUGAACUUAAUGAUUGCCAGAGAAAAGCACUUAGACAAAGCUGGGGGUUCUAACUAUAGGAUUAUUUAGUCACGUCCAACCUGGCAUGAUUGCACCCCGCACCAACACCAUUACACCUCUGUAAUCAUGUUGCUAUGGAAACAAUGGCUUUCAGUUUGAAGUGAGAAGGAAAUAAUCAGUGGGUGAGGGCGGCCGGAUACAUGCAGCAUUCCAUUCCUGUACUCCCAGUUUGUAGUGCCGUCGAGCCUGAUCCUCUCGCUAUGGCAGCCUGUCGACCUUCCAUGUUGCAAAGUAAACAUUGCACCAAGCAUAGCCUCUGCCACGUUUGAGGUUGGUGUUUGUCUUAAUUAGUGGGUUGACCUGAGCCUUGAGAAGUGUGGCCACAAGGUUUACAAACUCUGGAGACAACCACCAAAUGCAAUCACCGUCGCGAUUUGACGAGGCCGAGUUUGUAUCUUGUUUUGGACUUCAUGUUGUUUGCUGAUUGGAUUCUGCUCAAUUUAGCCCAGUGCCGGCCCUCCUUACAUGACAAAAGCCAUCUCAUCCAUCUCAAGACAGACAGCAGACAGCAGACCACAGAUGCAUUUAAAGUGUUGUUUAUUUGUUUGUCAGUGAGCAAAAUUUGUGAAAACUGUCUGACCAAUCACCACAAGGAUAAGUGCCAGAAAAUACAUUUUAAAAUUCCUUCCUAUAGCUGCGAAUGCAUGCCUAUGCAGAAGGUGUGUAUGUAUUAGGCUGUACUGUUUCCAAUCCACAUUCAUAUUAUUAGCCUUGGCAGCGGCCUGUGCUUGACCGAGUGCCAUCCUGGUGUCUUCUAUUGCUUUUAGAGCAUGACACACUUUCUAUACUUUAGGGGAUUUUUUUAUCAUCAGGAGGGGGUAGAACAGUGAAAUAUCACAUUUAUGUCACUUUGACGAGCAACAUGGCGCUUGCCUGCCUGCCUGCCAGUCGUCCUGGCCAUGAUGGUGCCAAAAAGUCUUUGGGGUAUUUUUAUUGCAUUACCCGCCAAGCAUCUGCUCCCAAUUACCCAGAGAGGACAUCUCUGAUGCUGGACUUUAAAGCAAGCUAACGGCCCGCUUCAGACAGUUGAGAAGUUUGUGCACUAAUUAAACUCAGCGGAAAGGAGCCAGCAUAACCAAGUUGUCAGUAAUGAGGACCCCCCGAUCAGAAAAGGGUCAGCAGACCUGGUGAAGUGAGUUAUUAUUUGGAGCACCGACUAAUUAUAUCAGCAAAUCAAAGCAGAGGUUCUGCCAGAGCAGGUGUCAUGGAUGCUGAAGUUGUCCGGUCACAAGAGGCAUUUUACAGAGGUGGGAUUUCACACCACCCAAACCUUUUUCUUAACUGUCCAGCAUAAACUGUGUCUGACCUAAAUAUAAACCGUAAUAUUCUCACUAGUGGCCACUAUUCUUAGGAGUCUCACACAGUGAAAUGAGCCGAGCCCAGAUGCUGGAUGAUAUACUGUACAGCAUUUCCAAACUCAAGCCACAGCCGCAGUCAUCACCAUGGGUGGUUGCUGGGCAGCAGCUCGCAGUGAAAUGAUACAAGAUACCCGCAGGUUACAGUGAACUCAGCAGUACGUGUUUUCUCAGACUAUAAGCUCCAAGAUGUCAGUCAAGGUCACAGAAGCAAGCAAGAUGCUCUGUUUAAUUUGUCGUUUGGACUAUUUUCAUUUGCACUGUACAUUCUUUGUUUUUGUUAUUGUAACCAAAUUCACUCCAUUUUUGCUUUAUGUGUUUUUUUUAUCACGCUCGUCCUUCAUCUGCCCCAGCGUUGACUUUUUUUUCCGUCAAUCAGCGCUCUCUUUCCAUGGGGAAAGUUCCUGGUUUGUUUUGUUUUGUCUGGUUGUUGUCAUUUGUUGCAAGUCUGCCCCGAUGCUCUUUUUGCUUCUGGUGUGUUUGGAUUUGGGGAAUUUGCAUGCUGGCUCGCCAGUGCUUCUGUAUUGUUGUAAAUAAACUCUAUUUGUGAUUUCUGCAUGGCUUAGGGCCAUCCUCUCCCAUGUGCUUAAAUCACAAAAAUGCACAGUUGUACACUUUUCUGGCUGCUCAACAUAAGUCUGUCAUUUAUGCACAUUCCUGACAGAUGCACACUUUGGGUACUUUUUCUCUUCCAUGCUCCAGAAGCUGGAGUAGGUCCACAGGCCCGAAAUGGUUAACCAUCAAAUUGCGCUUGGCAUUAUAACAUACUGUACGUCGCCACAUGUAAGCAACUUGCAGAAAGCGAUCAAAUGCAUGUGAGGAGACUGAACAAGUGAUAUUUUAUGAAGCUAGUCAAAGAGGUGCUGUGAGUCAGCUAACAAAGCAUUUUAGUCGUGAUAUUGAUUAGUGCCAGCUGGCUUUGUUUCACCUAUAACUGCGAGGACCGAUUUUUCAAACAUGGCGCUGGCGGCGAGAAUUCAAAACAAGGCUCCACAGUUUCUGAAAGCGCAGGGCUCCCACUGUGACAAGAACUAAAGUCAUCGUAAUAUUGCAAUUGCUAGUGGUGUAAGUAGGUUGGGCACUGCUGAUCUACAAACAUGCAUUCAGUUACAAGUACAGUAAUUUGAUUAGUUUUGAUUUAUUUAAGAAUUUUAAAAAAAGUAUGCAAGUCCUGACUUCUCGAUGACCCAUGCGCUAUGUAAGAUAUUUUCAUAUUUAAAGUAAGCUAUAUUUAUCUCAUGGAUUUCAAUGUCUCAGGGAAACUCUCAUGUUCCUUGAUUUACAUCCAGCUUCAGAAUUCACUGAAUUACGCCGCUCAAACUCAUUUUCAUUUUACCGCGUGCGUGCGUGCGAGUGUGUGCGUGUGUGUGCGUGUGAAGUCUGGAUGGAGGAAUAGACAAAUUACAUAGGACCAGUUGAGUAAAAAAAGAAGACAAACGGGAGAAUAUAGCUCUUACUGCACAUACGGUGCCGCAAAAAAAUAUUUCGCCCCUGCUGAAAAUAUAUAUUUUUUCAAGUUUGACCACUUUUAUGUUUAAAAUCCUCAAAUAAAUAUAACUCACUCAUUCUUGAGAGAAGGGACAAAAGAGAUAUUUUUUAAAAAACCCAUUCUUUAAAAUGCACGUUAUUACUUGAAUUUCCAUAAUUGUGUUUGUAGAAAAAAAGUCUUAGUUAUUUCAUCAUAUCAAAGAGCAGGUUUUUAAUAAUUAAAAAAAAAUCUUGAUUUUUGUCAAUUUUCUUAGACACAUUAAAAAGUGCAGUUUUAAGUCCAAGUUGUCUAAGAAGAAUCCAAAGUCAGAAAUUAAUUGGUUACACUAUGUGAUCAAAUACACUUGUUUUCAGAUUUCACACAUUUCUGAAUAACCGCAAGAUUUUCUUGAUUUCUUUUUAAUUUUAGUCUGACUCUAAAUUCUUAAAUUUCUAAUAGAGGGGUGUGGACAAACAGUCAUUUAUUGCAUAACUUAUACAAAUAAUAAACUUAAUUUUUCAAAGAACAAUCAAAAUGUGUGGUGUCAACUUGGUGUUGAUGGUGUCGACAGAAAUGCAUUAAAAAAAUAUGUCUUUGAACAAAUGUAGGACACGAUAGAGGAACUAUGAUGAAGUCUGGUAUAUUGAACAUCAAUUUUAAAAAUAAACAUACUGUGAAUGUCAUCAUUUACAACUACUGGAAUGCAAAA